UACGUAGGGUGCAAGCGUUGUCCGGAAUUAUUGGGCGUAAAGAGCUCGUAGGCGGUCUGUCACGUCGGCUGUGAAAACUCGGGGCUCAACCCCGAGCCUGCAGUCGAUACGGGCAGACUAGAGUCCGGCAGGGGAGACUGGAAGUUCCUGGUGAUAGCGGUGAAAUGCGCAGAUAUCAGGAGGAACACCGGUGGCGAAGGCGGGUCUCUGGGCCGGAACUGACGCUGAGGAGCGAAAGCCGUGGGGAGCGAACAGGA
RNAcentral lists this ribosomal RNA (257 nucleotides) under uncultured bacterium. RNAcentral describes it as "partial 16S ribosomal RNA". It matches the Rfam family "Bacterial small subunit ribosomal RNA", at positions 524 to 777 of the family's 1533-position model. The record is from RNAcentral.